AAAUUACAUAUUUACCCAUAUUUUUACAAUUAUAAUUAUUUAAAUAAUACAAACUAAUUUAAACCUUAACUCCUCACCCCCUACAAACAAGGCAACAUAUCUUGCUCCUCUAGACGACAUACCCCAGCUCGUUUAUCUCAAAAAUCACGUAAUCAAAUCCAUCGAAAAACAAGCCACUAAACGGUAAUAUGAAUUAAACUUAUAAAUCACAAAAUCAAAUCCACUACUCGGGAAUCAAACCCAUUCAGACCCAUAAGAUCAAACUUAGGAAUGUUAGACCUAUUCAAGGAUUCAAUUACAAAUCUGAGAGCCACCGAUUAAAAAAAUAAACCCAAUAGAAAAAACUGAAGAGUAGAUGUAAAAAAAUCAAUUGAAAAAACAGAAGACUGUAAAAAUUAAAAUUCUGGACAAAGGUGAUGUACCAAUGAUUUCAAUUUCCAUUUCUUCAUGUACUCGUUCUUAAAGAAAGUUAGAAUUCAUGUUCUUGUUAUUGAAGAAUUGCCCUUUCCAUCAUCCACCUACCAUGAACCACCACCCAUCUCUCAGCUUCGACAAGACCCAAACCAAAACAAAAUUAGAUUCAUGACUACCACAGUCCACAAUUGAGAGGAAUCAAACAAAAUCGCAAAGGAAAUUAACCUGAAAAACGAUGACUUAAUAAUUAAAAGAAAAUACUUCAAACUUCUUGAAGGUUAUAUAGAAGAAAACUGAAUGAAAUCAAAGCUUAAACCCUUGAAAUUGGAGUUGAAAUAAACUAGAUGACUUGAAAAACCCAGAAGCUGUCUUCAAAAGUCCAUAAUUUGUAUUCAAGAAAACCCAAAUUAUGUCUUAAAAACCCCCCAUAAACAAAAUUGAAGCUUAGACCCAUAAAAUCGGAACCGAUUAAAUUGGAUGUAAAAAAAACAGAAAUUAUCUUCAGUAGGACCCGGAUUUUUACUUUAAAAAAUCCAAAUAUUAUAUUGUCUUUUUCUUCCAAAGAAAAAAAAAAACAGAUAUCAUCUUCCGUAAAACCCAUAUUCAUCUUAUGUUUUGUGUUCCUCAAACGAUGAAACAAAAAUCAAGGAAGACAAAAUCACACACACCUUUAUGUUUCUUUUCUUUGAUGAUGAUGUGGUUUGAUAAAGAGCUUUCAUAAGGUUGCCGAUGUGAGAAGAUGGGAAGGAGAACGAGGGCUUCAUGUUUAACAUUAGAGAGGUCAACAAAGGGAAUGUGGGAGAUGAAAGAGUCACUUCAUAUGGGUUUAAUUUAAUUUUUUUUUAUUUUUUCAAGUUAAAAGACUAAAAUGCCACAAGCAUGUGGGUCACUUCAUAGAAAAACAAAGGGUUAACGAUGUUCGAGAUGAAACAUACAAUUUUUAAACGUAUUAG
This 1367-nucleotide long non-coding RNA is filed under the name Lactuca sativa (garden lettuce). RNAcentral's name for it is "long non-coding RNA (LSAT_LNC003810)". Lineage: Eukaryota; Viridiplantae; Streptophyta; Magnoliopsida; Asterales; Asteraceae. The record is from RNAcentral.